UCUCCGUUGGUGAACCAGCGGAGGGAUCAUUACAGGAUCGAAAGACUCCUAUAACCCCUGUGAACUUACUACAAAUACGUUGCUUCGGCGGGUGCCCCGGGUCUCCCGGGGCGUUCAGCCCGCCGGCAGCCUUCAAAUUCUGUUUCUUUGCGUUGGCAUCUCGAGUAUACAAAAAUAAGUCAAAACUUUCAACAACGGAUCUCUUGGUUCUG
RNAcentral lists this unclassified non-coding RNA (212 nucleotides) under plant metagenome. RNAcentral describes it as "partial contains small subunit ribosomal RNA, internal transcribed spacer 1, and 5.8S ribosomal RNA". The record is from RNAcentral.